UGAAUUCAAGUUUUAGGAUUGAAGUUUGAAUUUUUCAUAUAAAGUAAUUAUUUUAGGUUAUUUAUUUGGAUCAUUUUACCGUUCAUGUUAUUUUAAACUAAAUUUAUUAAAUUUUUAUAAUCAAAUCAAAUUGAAUCGAAUUUAUAUUUGAAUUGAUUGGGUCAAAUUUUGAAUUCGAGUUAGAAUUUACAUAUUGAAAUAUGACUGGCAUAAACCUUUCAAUUAGGUGGGUCAAGUUUAUGUAGAUCUUGU
This 252-nucleotide long non-coding RNA is filed under the name Gossypium barbadense (sea-island cotton). Its description in RNAcentral is "long non-coding RNA (GBAR_LNC007424)". The record is from RNAcentral. Lineage: Eukaryota; Viridiplantae; Streptophyta; Magnoliopsida; Malvales; Malvaceae.